RNAcentral lists this unclassified non-coding RNA (589 nucleotides) under Hevea brasiliensis (rubber tree). The record is from RNAcentral. Lineage: Eukaryota; Viridiplantae; Streptophyta; Magnoliopsida; Malpighiales; Euphorbiaceae.
GCUCCUUGUUGAUUUUCACGGAAGUUAUCCUGUUGAGCAGGUUGCUCUUGAGAUUUAUUUGCGUCGCUUGUAAAAAUUUUCAUUGUGACAUUGCUCCUUACAAGUAUUGCAUUAUUCCCUUUUCCAGGAUAUUUAUCUUCCCACAAGUACUAUGAGAGCGAAAUUUUCUUUUCCUGUUGCAAUAUCUGUUUUCAGCUUGAUUGUCCUUUGUGCUUGAUGUAACUUUUCAUUUGUGCUUAUCGCUUUGCCUCUUAUAAUUACAAUCAAAGCCUAGAGAGAAGAGGAGGAUUCAGAGACAGUUGCAAUACAGACCAAUCUUCUAAUGGAUCACAAUGAUGCAAGUCAAGAAGAGGCCUAGAUUCGAAAAUAUGUCAAGGUGAUGACGAAGUGAAUCUUUUACAAGCCAUUGCCACGGUACACUUCUGCAAUCUGUAAGCUAUGUUAUUAUUUUUUAAUUCCAUUUUUUUAUUGGCUUAAACCAAGAUUCGAACUCAUAUCCUGGUACGGUGAACCAAAGCUGUCGUUACCGUGCAGAAACUUAUGUAUCAUCUGCUAAGAUAAGAACAAUUGCAGAGAGAGAGAGAGAGAG